GAUGAAGAACGUAGCGAAAUGCGAUAAGUAGUGUGAAUUGCAGAAUUCAGUGAAUCAUCGAAUCUUUGAACGCACAUUGCGCCCUUUGGUAUUCCAAAGGGCAUGCCUGUUCGAGCGUCAUUUGUACCCUCAAGCUUUGCUUGGUGUUGGGCGUCUUGUCUCUAGCUUUGCUGGAGACUCGCCUUAAAGUAAUUGGCAGCCGGCCUACUGGUUUCGGAGCGCAGCACAAGUCGCACUCUCUAUCAGCAAAGGUCUAGCAUCCAUUAAGCCUUUUUUUCAACUUUUGACCUCGGAUCAGGUAGGGAUACCCGCUGAACUUAAGCAUAUCAAUAAGCGGGGA
This 340-nucleotide unclassified non-coding RNA is filed under the name soil metagenome. RNAcentral describes it as "partial contains 5.8S ribosomal RNA, internal transcribed spacer 2, and large subunit ribosomal RNA". The stretch from base 1 to 120 matches the Rfam family "5.8S ribosomal RNA", at positions 35 to 154 of the family's 154-position model. The record is from RNAcentral.